This 85-nucleotide transfer RNA is filed under the name Gammaproteobacteria bacterium TMED219. Its description in RNAcentral is "tRNA-Leu". It matches the Rfam family "tRNA". Rfam says of the family: Transfer RNA (tRNA) molecules are approximately 80 nucleotides in length. Their secondary structure includes four short double-helical elements and three loops (D, anti-codon, and T loops). Further hydrogen bonds mediate the characteristic L-shaped molecular structure. tRNAs have two regions of fundamental functional importance: the anti-codon, which is responsible for specific mRNA codon recognition, and the 3' end, to which the tRNAs corresponding amino acid is attached (by aminoacyl-tRNA synthetases). tRNAs cope with the degeneracy of the genetic code in two manners: having more than one tRNA (with a specific anti-codon) for a particular amino acid; and 'wobble' base-pairing, i.e. permitting non-standard base-pairing at the 3rd anti-codon position. The record is from RNAcentral. RNAcentral also lists the same sequence under 1 other name. Lineage: Bacteria; Pseudomonadati; Pseudomonadota; Gammaproteobacteria.
GGGGAUGUGGUGGAAUUGGUAGACACGUGCGACUCAAACUCGCAUGCCGCAAGGCGUAACGGUUCAAGUCCGUUCAUCCCUACCA